This 560-nucleotide ribosomal RNA is filed under the name uncultured archaeon. RNAcentral describes it as "bacterial SSU rRNA". It matches the Rfam family "Archaeal small subunit ribosomal RNA", at positions 316 to 879 of the family's 1478-position model. The record is from RNAcentral.
CCGCAAUCGCCCUUUGCACCAGGCGCGAAAACUUUGCAAUACACGAAAGUGUGACAGGGUUAUCCCGAGUGCCGACCGCUGAGGUUGGCUUUUACCCAGUCUAGAAAGCUGGGGGAAUAAGGAGAGGGCAAGUCUGGUGUCAGCCGCCGCGGUAAUACCAGCUCUCCGAGUGGUGUGGACGUUUAUUGGGCCUAAAGCAUCCGUAGCUGGCUGAACAAGUCCCCUGUUAAACCCACCGAUUUAAUCGUUGGCGUGCGGGGGAUACUGCUCGGCUAGGGGACGAGAGAGGCAGACGGUAUUCCCGGGGUAGGGGUGAAAUCCUAUAAUCCCGAGAAGACCACCAGUGGCGAAGGCUGUCUGCUAGAGCGCGCCCGACGGUGAGGGAUGAAAGCUGGGGGAGCGAACCGGAUUAGAUACCCGGGUAGUCCCAGCUGUAAACGAUGCAGACUAGGUGUUUGGACGGCCACGUGCCGUUCUAGUGCCGCAGGGAAGCUGUUAAGUCUGCCGCCUGGGGAGUACGAUCGCAAGAUUGAAACUUAAAGGAAUUGGCGGGGGAGCAC